Molecule: ribosomal RNA, 1498 nt
Filed under: uncultured bacterium
Lineage: Bacteria
Description: 16S ribosomal RNA
Rfam family: Bacterial small subunit ribosomal RNA
Source: RNAcentral
UAGAGUUUGAUCAUGGCUCAGGAUGAACGCUAGCGACAGGCUUAACACAUGCAAGUCGAGGGGCAGCGGGGAGGUAGCAAUACUUCCGCCGGCGACCGGCGCACGGGUGAGUAACACGUAUGGAACCUGCCCGUAGCAGGGGGAUAAACGGAAGAAAUUCCGUCUAAUACCGCGUAAUAACUCCGAGAGGCAUCUCAUGGAGUUUAAAGGGUAACACCGGCUACGGAUGGCCAUGCGGCGCAUUAGCUAGUUGGCGGGGUAACGGCCCACCAAGGCGACGAUGCGUAGGGGUUCUGAGAGGAAGGUCCCCCACACUGGUACUGAGACACGGACCAGACUCCUACGGGAGGCAGCAGUGAGGAAUAUUGGUCAAUGGGCGCGAGCCUGAACCAGCCAAGUCGCGUGAGGGAAGACGGUCCUAUGGAUUGUAAACCUCUUUUGUCGGGGAGCAAAAGACGCCACGUGUGGCGUUCCGAGAGUACCCGAAGAAAAAGCAUCGGCUAACUCCGUGCCAGCAGCCGCGGUAAUACGGAGGAUGCGAGCGUUAUCCGGAUUUAUUGGGUUUAAAGGGUGCGCAGGCGGAAGAUCAAGUCAGCGGUAAAAUUGAGAGGCUCAACCUCUUCGAGCCGUUGAAACUGGUUUUCUUGAGUGAGCGAGAAGUAUGCGGAAUGCGUGGUGUAGCGGUGAAAUGCAUAGAUAUCACGCAGAACUCCGAUUGCGAAGGCAGCAUACCGGCGCUCAACUGACGCUCAUGCACGAAAGUGUGGGUAUCGAACAGGAUUAGAUACCCUGGUAGUCCACACAGUAAACGAUGAAUACUAAUUGUUCGGGGAGAAUGAUCCCUGAGUGAUACAGCGAAAGCGUUAAGUAUUCCACCUGGGGAGUACGCCGGCAACGGUGAAACUCAAAGGAAUUGACGGGGGCCCGCACAAGCGGAGGAACAUGUGGUUUAAUUCGAUGAUACGCGAGGAACCUUACCCGGGCUCAAACGACACAGGAAUACUUUUGAAAGGAAGUAGCUCUACGGAGCCUGUGUCGAGGUGCUGCAUGGUUGUCGUCAGCUCGUGCCGUGAGGUGUCGGCUUAAGUGCCAUAACGAGCGCAACCCCCAUCGCCAGUUACCAGCAAGUCAAGUUGGGGACUCUGGCGAGACUGCCGGCGCAAGCUGUGAGGAAGGCGGGGAUGACGUCAAAUCAGCACGGCCCUUACGUCCGGGGCGACACACGUGUUACAAUGGCAGGUACAGAGAGAAGCAAUGCGGCGACGCAAAGCGGAACUUGAAAGCCUGUCUCAGUUCGGAUUGGAGUCUGCAACUCGACUCCAUGAAGCUGGAUUCGCUAGUAAUCGCGCAUCAGCCAUGGCGCGGUGAAUACGUUCCCGGGCCUUGUACACACCGCCCGUCAAGCCAUGGAAGCCGGGAGUGCCUGAAGUGUGCAACCGCAAGGAGCGCCCUAAGGUAAAACUGGUGACUGGGGCUAAGUCGUAACAAGGUAGCCGUA